CGCCUCGAUCCUGAAAGGGUAACGGCGUCGAGCCGGAGCGAGAAGUCAGCAGAGGCCGUAGUAGUUUUUUUGACGAAGGGC
This 81-nucleotide non-coding RNA is filed under the name Ectopseudomonas oleovorans. The record is from RNAcentral. Lineage: Bacteria; Pseudomonadati; Pseudomonadota; Gammaproteobacteria; Pseudomonadales; Pseudomonadaceae.